This 856-nucleotide ribosomal RNA is filed under the name uncultured bacterium. RNAcentral describes it as "bacterial SSU rRNA". It matches the Rfam family "Bacterial small subunit ribosomal RNA", at positions 31 to 948 of the family's 1533-position model. The record is from RNAcentral.
GACCGCUGGCGGCAGGCCUUAGACUGCAAGUCGAGCGAGAACCUUCGGGUCUAGCGCGGACGGGUUCGAACGCGUGGGAACGUGCCCUUCUCUGCGGAAUAGCCACGGAAACGUUGAGUAAUACCGUAUACGCCCUUCGGGGAACGAUUUAUCGGAGAAGGAUCGGCCCGCGUUAAUUAGAUAGUUGGUGGGGUAAUGGCCUACCAAGUCUACGAUCUAUAGCUGGUUUUAGAGGAUGAUCAGCAACACUGGGCUGAGACACGGCCCAGACUCCUAAGGGAGGCAGCAGUGGGGAAUCUUAGACAAUGGGCGCAAGCCUGAUCUAGCCAUGCCGCGUGUGUGAUGAAGGUCUUAGGAUCGUAAACACUUUCGCCAGGGAUGAUAAUGACAGUACCUGGUAAAGAAACCCCGGCUAACUCCGUGCCAGCAGCCGCGGUAAUACGGAGGGGGUUAGCGUUGUUCGGAAUUAUGGGCGUAAAGCGUACGUAGGCGGAUCAGAAAGUAUAGGGUGAAAUCCCAGGGCCAACCCUGGAACUGCCUUGUAAACUCGUGCCUUGAGUUCGAGAGAGGUGAGUGGAAUUCCAAGUGUAGAGGUGAAAUUCGUAGAUAUUUGGAGGAACACGAGUGGCGAAGGCGGCUCACUGGCUCGAUCCUGACGCUGAGGUACGAAAGUGUGGGGAGCAAACCGGAUUAGUACCCUGGUAGUCCACACCUAAGCGAUGAAUGCCAGUGUCGGGCAGUAUACUCUUCGGUGACACACCUAACGGAUUAAGCAAUCCGCCUGGGGAGUACGGUCGCAAGAUUAAACUCAACGGAAUUGACGGGGGCCCGCACAACAGGUGGAGCAUGUGGCUUA